This 253-nucleotide ribosomal RNA is filed under the name uncultured bacterium. RNAcentral's name for it is "partial 16S ribosomal RNA". It matches the Rfam family "Bacterial small subunit ribosomal RNA", at positions 524 to 776 of the family's 1533-position model. The record is from RNAcentral.
UACGAAGGGUGCAAGCGUUACUCGGAAUUACUGGGCGUAAAGCGUGCGUAGGUGGUUUGUUAAGUCUGUUGUGAAAGCCCCGGGCUCAACCUGGGAAUGGCAAUGGAUACUGGCAAGCUAGAGUGCGGUAGAGGGUAGUGGAAUUCCCGGUGUAGCGGUGAAAUGCGUAGAGAUCGGGAGGAACACCAGUGGCGAAGGCGGGUUGCUGGGCCGACACUGACGCUGAGGCGCGAAAGCCAGGGGAGCGAACGGG